UGAACAUUGUGCAAGUUAGUGCAAAAUGGUGACUCAAGGGGCCUACAAGCUCAUGAAGGGGUAAAAGGCAAAAGGACGGUGAAUAUUAAUUCAAUUCAUGGCCAUAUGAUUGAAAUCUGACAUGUGGGUGGGUCAAAUUUAUGGCUCUUUGCAGUGGUCCUCUAAUCAAAAUGUUCAUUGAAAGUUAGGAUUUGUUAUCAUGAUUAAAAUUAAGAGAAGAUGGCCAAAGAGGCCAUCCUUGUUUUUAAGGAUCUAACAAGGUAAUUUCUUAAUUAGUAUUCAAAUAGUCUAAAACUAUAACAAUAAUUAAAAUUUUA
Molecule: unclassified non-coding RNA, 317 nt
Filed under: Hevea brasiliensis (rubber tree)
Lineage: Eukaryota; Viridiplantae; Streptophyta; Magnoliopsida; Malpighiales; Euphorbiaceae
Source: RNAcentral